Phymastichus coffea is the source of this 868-nucleotide long non-coding RNA. RefSeq lists it as uncharacterized. Lineage: Eukaryota; Metazoa; Arthropoda; Insecta; Hymenoptera; Eulophidae. The transcript is spliced from 3 exons. The record is from RefSeq and is a predicted model, not a curated record.
AGCUGUUGCUGGACGAACUUCUCGACUCCUUCUUCAAUACUGGCAUCUUAGCCAGGGCCGUCAACUCGAUAUUAGCCUCGGCGCUGGCGAUUUCAUUGGUGGCGCGGCAAGUGUACUGGCCUAAAUCGUGCUCCUGCACCCGGGUUCGCCCACGCCAUUGCUCGCCUCGCACGUGUACAGUCCAGCCAAGCUCCUAUUGGUGGCAUGAAUCCUCAGCUUCUGGCCAGACGCGAGGACCGGCAGCUCCACACCUUGGAAGCUCCAUGCAAGUACGGGCUUGGGCACACCUUCGGACAGACACGUCAUCACGGCCUCCUCGCCGAGUGCAACUUCGAUUUGGCCCGUUUCCGGGAUUGGUUUUGCGCUCGCUGGAUCUGUGCAAACGAGGCCGGGACUUCUUGCGGGAAUAAUGCGUGCCAGGCUGUUUUUCACGCUGGCCUUCCAGAAUCAAUCGGCCAUCCCGAUGAAAACGAAGCAGCAGUAGAUUUAUUUAGCAAACAAACGAGUUUUUUCUCGUUUCUUCUCUUCUUAUUCCUGUCUCGUUUCGAACUUGCAAGUUUAAUUAUCGGAGGGAAACAACGCAUUUUUCGCUCCCCUUGCUUGCAUUAAUAACUACGUAAUGUUUAUUAAGAUUUCAGAGAUCGGCAGGUUGCAAUUUUCCAGAGGAGAAUAAGUGUUGACUUUCAACAAGAUCCUGCUCUCUGCGAAAAUGAAGUAAGGGCCAGUAAAGCCUGCAGCGCGGGACCUUCAAGUCGGCGAAAACCAAGCAGAAGAGAGAGAGAGAGAGAGAGAGAGAGAGAGAGAGAGAGAGAGAGUGAGAGAAAGAGAUUGCCGGCUGGAUUUGGGGGAGGGAGAAACGCGAAAGUUG